This 427-nucleotide ribosomal RNA is filed under the name uncultured bacterium. Its description in RNAcentral is "partial 16S ribosomal RNA". It matches the Rfam family "Bacterial small subunit ribosomal RNA", at positions 354 to 796 of the family's 1533-position model. The record is from RNAcentral.
GUGGGGAAUAUUGGGCAAUGGGGGAAACCCUGACCCAGCGACGCCGCGUGAGGGAAGAAGGCCUUAGGGUCGUAAACCUCUGUUGUGUGGGAAGAAGAGCGUGACGGUACCACACGAGGAAGUCCCGGCUAACUACGUGCCAGCAGCCGCGGUAAUACGUAGGGGACGAGCGUUGUCCGGAUUUACUGGGCGUAAAGGGCGCGUAGGCGGUCAUUUAAGUCAGCUGUGAAAUGGUUUGGCUUAACCGGAUCAUGCGGUUGAAACUGGAUGACUGGAGUGCUGGAGAGGCAAGUGGAAUUCCCAGUGUAGCGGUGAAAUGCGUAGAUAUUAGGAAGAACACCAGUGGCGAAGGCGACUUUCUGGACGAAAACUGACGCUGAGGCGCGAAAGCCAGGGGAGCGAACGGGAUUAGAAACCCGAGUAGUCC